This 422-nucleotide ribosomal RNA is filed under the name uncultured bacterium. Its description in RNAcentral is "partial 16S ribosomal RNA". It matches the Rfam family "Bacterial small subunit ribosomal RNA", at positions 360 to 774 of the family's 1533-position model. The record is from RNAcentral.
AAUUUUGGACAAUGGGGGAAACCCUGAUCCAGCCAUCCCGCGUGUGCGAUGAAGGCCUUCGGGUUGUAAAGCACUUUUGGCAGGGAAGAAAAGGCUCUGGUUAAUACCUGGAGCUGCUGACGGUACCUGCAGAAGAAGCACCGGCAAACUACGUGCCAGCAGCCGAGGUAAUACGUAGGGGACAAGAGUUAAUCGGAAUUACUUGGCGUAAAGCGUGCGCAGGCGGUUUGGCAAGAAGGAUGUGAAAUCCCGGGGCUUAACCUCGGAACUGCAUUCUUAACUGCCAGGCUAGAGUAUGUCAGAGGGGGGUAGAAUUCCACGUGUAGCAGUGAAAUGCGUAGAGAUGUGGAGGAAUACCGAUGGCGAAGGCAGCCCCCUGGGAUAAUACUGACGCUCAUGCACGAAAGCGUGGGGAGCAAACA